GUGAAUCAUCAAAUUUUUGAACGCAAAUUGCGCCUUUUUCGGAAGGCAUGUCUGUUUGAGGGCACCAUUUAACAAAUAAUGUGCAUGCUGUGUGUAUUUUUACGCACACGUGCACACGUUGAUGAGCUUUCCAAAAUUAUGUAUUAUUAUUUUUGGUGGCGCAUAAUAAACAGCGCGAUGCUUUUUUUCAGUUCGAGUGUAGUAAAAUUUUUUCUUGCUUGGGUUGUGAAAAGCGUGAUCGCGCAAUGGGUGUGGCGAUUCUACUAACCCUGCCCCAACGCCACUCUUUCUCGCGAAAGAA
This 301-nucleotide unclassified non-coding RNA is filed under the name Paraglomerales sp. RNAcentral describes it as "partial contains 5.8S ribosomal RNA and internal transcribed spacer 2". The stretch from base 1 to 65 matches the Rfam family "5.8S ribosomal RNA", at positions 84 to 154 of the family's 154-position model. The record is from RNAcentral. Lineage: Eukaryota; Fungi; Glomeromycota; Glomeromycetes; Paraglomerales.